Molecule: ribosomal RNA, 587 nt
Filed under: uncultured bacterium
Lineage: Bacteria
Description: bacterial SSU rRNA
Rfam family: Bacterial small subunit ribosomal RNA
Source: RNAcentral
CCUACGGGAGGCAGCAGUAGGGAAUCUUCCGCAAUGGACGAAAGUCUGACGGAGCAACGCCGCGUGAACGAUGAGGGCCUUCGGGUCGUAAAGUUCUGUUGUUAGGGAAGAACAAGUGCUAGUUGAAUAAGCUGGCACCUUGACGGUACCUAACCAGAAAGCCACGGCUAACUACGUGCCAGCAGCCGCGGUAAUACGUAGGUGGCAAGCGUUGUCCGGAAUUAUUGGGCGUAAAGCGCGCGCAGGCGGUUUCUUAAGUCUGAUGUGAAAGCCCCCGGCUCAACCGGGGAGGGUCAUUGGAAACUGGGAAACUUGAGUGCAGAAGAGGAAAGUGGAAUUCCAAGUGUAGCGGUGAAAUGCGUAGAGAUUUGGAGGAACACCAGUGGCGAAGGCGACUUUCUGGUCUGUAACUGACGCUGAGGCGCGAAAGCGUGGGGAGCAAACAGGAUUAGAUACCCUGGUAGUCCACGCUGUAAACGAUGAGUGCUAAGUGUUAGAGGGUUUCCGCCCUUUAGUGCUGAAGUUAACGCAUUAAGCACUCCGCCUGGGGAUACGGUCGCAAGACUGAAACUCAAAUGAAUUGACGG